Molecule: long non-coding RNA, 608 nt
Filed under: Equus asinus (donkey)
Lineage: Eukaryota; Metazoa; Chordata; Mammalia; Perissodactyla; Equidae
Description: lncRNA (ENSEASG00005032929.1)
Source: RNAcentral
ACGGGAAUUUUCUGGACCCCAGUCUGUUCUGGUUGAGGAGGUGCUUCCAGAGAGCACAAAGAAGAGGGAUCUGGGCCCUGUCUCUCAAAAGUUGAUGGUCAAGGUGGGGCAGAUAUUUUUGCAUUUGCCCACCAGGUAACCCUAAACCUUAUAAUGUCUAAAUUAUUAUGCUGAAAGCGAAAUCGAGUCCUUUCUGGCAGCGGGUGCUGCUUCCCAGUGAGCGCGAAGCCUUGCGAGCGAGCUCAGAGAGAAGCAGGCUGCUGCUUGCGACCACACAGCCAGCUAACAGCGACACUGGAUGCAGACUCGGCGCUCCUCUUGCCACAUUGUCGUUUCUACCACCCAACCUCCAAACCAGGACGCUGAAAAGUCGAAGUCAUUAUGCUUUGUUCCUGGGAUCUGCAGGGACCACAGAGCGCCCAGAGAGAACCGGCUGUAAACACAAAUGACAUGACAAAUGACAGCCCGUUCAUGGUUAUCUCGACCAAGCCUCCUUGGAACUACGUCUGUUUCCAGAUUCAACCUCUUCUCAAGGUGAUGUGGAAAUAGUGACGUUCCCACAGACAAUUGGUGAUGAGCUGGACUGCCAUCCAGGUUUCCUCAUUCCC